GUUGAACGCUGACAGCAUGCUUAACACAUGCAAGUCAACUUGCGGCGGACGGGUGAGUAACGCGUAUAUAACUUGCCUCCCAGGUAGGGACAACAUCUGGAAACGAAUGCUAAUACCUAAUCCUGUGAGAUAGCUCUGCGUCCAAUUAGCUAGUUGGUGAGGUAACGGCUCACCUAGGCGAGGAUGGGUAGCCGGCCUGGGAGGGUGAUCGGGCACAAGGGGACUGGGACACGGCCCUUACUCCUACGGGAGGCAGCGGUGGAGGAUAUUGGACGAUGGGCCAAAGUAUGAACAAGCAAUUAUGUGUGUACGAUGAAGUUGUCGGAAUGUAAAGUGCUUUGAGAUGGGAAGCGGUACCAACAGAAGAAGUGACGGCUAAAUACGUGCCAGCAGCCGCGGUAAUAC
Molecule: ribosomal RNA, 405 nt
Filed under: uncultured bacterium
Lineage: Bacteria
Description: partial 16S ribosomal RNA
Rfam family: Bacterial small subunit ribosomal RNA
Source: RNAcentral